AGUUAAAAAUCAAUUAAUACUCAGCAUGCAAAGUAAUUAAAACAACCAUGCGUAGAAAGGCUGUUACAUGCUAAUUAUAAAAAGUACCUUGACAUCUUCUUGAGCGUUAUUUUAUAACCUUUAAUUUAUACAUUACAAAAUCAUUUUUAUUUUAUAUUGACUAUUUUUUGGACAAAAUACUACAACUGUUAAAUCCCGGUAAGAUCUGUGGUGCGCAUUGGUUUGUUUCAAGUACUCAUUCAAGCGUUUAAUCAAUUUCGGUACCAAACUUUUUUCUAUGAGAAGUUCUAUUUUUUUUUUAUACAAUGUUUUUGUAAUGUCUGUUUCUUUAGUAAAAAACUAAACAAAAAUUAUUUAAAAUAUUUAAAUUAUUAGAUUUUGAAAGAGUGGCGUACAUGGCGUAGCUACCUGGAGCAGGUUGGAGAUCUAAUGCUUUAAAUACAAAAAACAUGUGGGCGUAAAUUUAUUAUUAUUAUUAUUAUUAUUAUUAUUGUUAUUAUUAUUAUUUUGUGCUUUAUUUUGAUGAUCCUGAAUAGGUUUUAUCGACAAGGAUCAUGUUAACAUUUCAGCAAUCACAGUCUGAAAGCAACGGUGCCCGAAGAGGCCCUUACGGUUUUAUCAAAGAGCCUGAUAUUGCAGAAAUUGCCCUUAGGUGGGGUUUAAACUACAGACCUUACGUUUCUGAAGCAAAUGCGCUACCACUGCGCCACGACUGCUCAAUAAAUCUAUCGUCGAUAAUCUCAAAGUAAAAACUUCGAAUCGGUUGGCAACAAUUUGUAUCAUGGCAGUUUACAGUUUGUAAAAAAUUUUGAGUUGUUUUAAAUUGUUUUUUUCAA
Long non-coding RNA from Hydra vulgaris (swiftwater hydra), 836 nucleotides. RefSeq lists it as uncharacterized. The record is from RefSeq and is a predicted model, not a curated record. Lineage: Eukaryota; Metazoa; Cnidaria; Hydrozoa; Anthoathecata; Hydridae.